UUGGGGAUUUUGCACAAUGGGCGAAAGCCUGAUGCAGCGACACAGCGUGAAGGAUGAAGGUUUUCGGAUCGUAAACUUCUUUUAGUGGGGAGUAAUCUUGAAAGUACCCACUGAAUAAGGACCGGCUAACUACGUGCCAGCAGCCGCGGUAAUACGUAGGGUCCGAACGUUAUCCGGAAUUAUUGGGCGUAAAGAGUUCGUAGGUGGUUUUGUAAGUUGGGUAUUAAAUCUAUCGGCUCAACCGAUAAACUGUACUCAAUACUGCAGAACUUUGUGGUUUGCAGGGGCAGAUGGAAUUCAUGGUGUAGCAGUGGAAUGCGUAGAUAUCAUGAAGAACACCAAUGGCGAAGGCAGUCUGCUAGGCUCUCCAGACACUGAGGAACGAAAGCGUGGGUAGCGAACGGG
This 405-nucleotide ribosomal RNA is filed under the name uncultured bacterium. Its description in RNAcentral is "bacterial SSU rRNA". It matches the Rfam family "Bacterial small subunit ribosomal RNA", at positions 355 to 776 of the family's 1533-position model. The record is from RNAcentral.